Regulatory RNA element from Firmicutes bacterium CAG:129, 48 nucleotides. It matches the Rfam family "ssnA RNA". Lineage: Bacteria; Bacillati; Bacillota. The record is from Rfam.
UGACUGAUAGCUGUAACGAAGUGCUGCGCGCACGGGCUGAAACUAUCA